RNAcentral lists this ribosomal RNA (352 nucleotides) under uncultured bacterium. Its description in RNAcentral is "bacterial SSU rRNA". It matches the Rfam family "Bacterial small subunit ribosomal RNA", at positions 8 to 350 of the family's 1533-position model. The record is from RNAcentral.
AGAGUUUGAUCAUGGCUCAGGAUGAACGCUAGCUACAGGCUUAACAUAUGCAAGUCGAGGGGAAACGACAUCGAAAGCUUGCUUUUGAUGGGCGUCGACCGGCGCACGGGUGAGUAACGCGUAUCCAACCUGCCCACCACUUGGGGAUAACCUUGCGAAAGUAAGACUAAUACCCAAUGACGUCUCUAGAAGACAUCUGAAGGAGAUUAAAGAUUUAUCGGUGAUGGAUGGGGAUGCGUCUGAUUAGCUUGUUGGCGGGGUAACGGCCACCAAGGCGACGAUCAGUAGGGGUUCUGAGAGGAAGGUCCCCCANAUUGGAACUGAGACACGGUCCAAACUCCUACGGGAGACA